Molecule: ribosomal RNA, 568 nt
Filed under: uncultured bacterium
Lineage: Bacteria
Description: bacterial SSU rRNA
Rfam family: Bacterial small subunit ribosomal RNA
Source: RNAcentral
GUGCCAGCAGCCGCGGUAAUACGGAKGGUGCAAGCGUUAACCGGAAUACUGGGCGUAAAGCGCACGCASGCGGUUUGUUAAGUCAGAUGUGAAAUCCCCGGGCUCAACCUGGGAACUGCAUCUGAUACUGGCAAGCUUGAGUCUCGUGGAGGGGGGUAGAAUUCCAGGUGUAGCGGUGAAAUGCGUAGAGAUCUGGAGGAAUACCGGUGGCGAAGGCGGCCCCCUGGACGAAGACUGACGCUCAGGUGCGAAAGCGUGGGGAGCGAACAGGAUUAGAUACCCUGGUAGUCCACGCUGUAAACGAUGCUAACUCGUUUUUGGGGAUUUAUCUUCAGAGACUAAGCGGAAGUGAUAAGUUASCCACCUGGGGAGUACGAACGCAAGUUUGAAACUCAAAGGAAUUGACGGGGGCCCGCACAAGCGGUGGAUUAUGUGGUUUAAUUCGAUGAUACGCGAGGACCUUACCAAGGCUUAAAUGGGAAUUGAUCGGUUUAGAAAUAGACCUUCCUUCGGGCAAUUUUCAAGGUGCUGCAUGGUUGUCGUCAGCUCGUGCCGUGAGGUGUUAGGU